AACGAUUCAGUCUGACUCUUCUCAGAGUGAACACUUGAACAAUGAAUCUUCAUUCAGUCAUUCUGCUCUGUGUCUCAUCUGCUGCUGUAUUUGUAAAUGUCAUCAAACCAAACAAAACAGAUGUUUUUGCUGAGGAGGGUUCAAGUGUUACAUUAUCCUGUAGUUUUUCUGCCUCUGGAGGUACAGAUUAUCUCCACUGGUACCGUCAGUAUGGAAGAUCAAAACCUGAAUUUCUUGUACUCACCUACAGUAGUAAAAAAGAACCUGUGACGUCUGAUGUAGAUCCAAGAUUCUCUGUUAAAGUUGAAAAAAAGGAACAAAAUCACGUGUAUCUGAUCACCUCCUCUGCUGCAGUAUCAGACUCUGCUCUGUAUUACUGUGCUCUG
This is a non-coding RNA of Megalobrama amblycephala (Wuchang bream), 386 nucleotides long. The record is from the annotation of a RefSeq genome assembly. Lineage: Eukaryota; Metazoa; Chordata; Actinopteri; Cypriniformes; Xenocyprididae.